GGAUGGCAGUACUCACUGGGAACCAUAGAGUUGGUUCUCACCCUACAUUACUUUGAGGUGUUACAGGUUCGCACGUGAGCUGCGCGGCGGCGCGAGAAAAAGGCGUAGCUCCGUAGAUAGCGCCCUACCACAGAGACCAGAGAUAGCAGUACCCCGAGUCGACAUAUCCUAGGGGUAUAAAGAUCAAAAGAUUAAUAUAUCGAAUUUGUAAUGAAUAAAUGAUGUAAUGAUUCAGAUUGCAUUUAGAUGAAAAAGAAUUGUAAUUAAGUUGUAAAAAUGUAUGAAUGUGAAUGCAUGUAAUAACUUAGGUUGUGUUAUAUUGUUGAUACCUUCCUUAUGCAAUCUCUACUUGAAUACUGUCCCUGUUUGGGACCUCUUGUAUUGUAAUUGAUUGUGAUGUGUAGAACGUACAGGAGAAACUCUGUCCGUUCGGCGGUCUGUCGGCGUGCCCGAAUCCGACCAAAUAGGCGGGGUUCGGGGCGUGACAAAGUGUCUCAAAAUUAGAUUUUAUAUUUUUUCGACCUUGUAGACUUGAUGAUCAAAAAAGUUGCAAAAUUUGUAAUUUUGAUAUCGGCUACUGCACUUUUGUUUAGACUACUCGAAGUGUCUCGAAAUUAGAUUUUAUAUUUUUUCGACCUCGUAGACUUGAUGAUCAAAAAAGUUGCAAAAUUUGUAAUUUUGAUAUCGGCUGCUGCGGUUUUGUUUAGACUACUCGAAGUGUCUUGAAAUUAGAUUUUAUAUUUUUUCGACCUCAUAGACUUGAUGAUCAAAAAAGUUGCAAAUUUUGUAAUUUUGAUAGCCGAUAUGGGGCAUUUACUAGCUUAAUGAUGCAAAAAAUUUAAAAUUAGUUAAAUCUUUGUUUAAAAAUUUUUAAAAUUAUUUAAGAUAAGAUCUACACAUUUGAUCUUCAAUAUAAAAAUGCUAUCAUUAUUUUUUAAGGAUAUUUAUUUUCAAUUAUCUAUGUUGGUGUUUACUUAAUACACAAAGGAAGCUUAUUUUUUGUUUGAAGCUAUUCUCUUCAACAGCUAUAGUCGGAACAGCAUCCGAUCAAAUUUUAAUUUACCUGUAUUUAUAACUAUAAUGUAGUUAAAACUAUAUGUGGAUAAAUAGCCCUUUCACUCUCUUUAGUUGGUAUGAUUUUAUUUACACCGCAAGUCGAAAUACAACAAUUACAGCUAUAAGGAAUCGAACAGCCCUUCUACUCUCUUUUUUUUUUUCGAGAAAUAGGUAGCAUGCUACCUGCUUCGUUUGUUUCAUUUAGAAAUAAACUUAGCUAGAAAUGUGAAUCAACUAGGAUUCGAACUUAGGUCUUGGGUACCAACCACUAAGCCCUUUGCCACUUGCUCUAGGGACGGUCGGUCCCUUCUACUCUCUUUAGUUGGUAUGAUUCUAUGGCGCUAAUAUUAAUCCCAAAAGCUCGAGCUGUCCGAAGUACGCGGCCAAUUCACUUAAAGUGUACAGAUACCGCGCUCACGGAUCUUGAUUGUGACUCGACCCAAUCAGUCCCACGCUACUUCGAACGUGACUCGGCCCAGCCCAACCUUACAUCAUUUCAAAUAUGAUUGGACCCAAUGUAACCUUCCAUCACAUGAUAGAAUGUUAGUCUAUUUAAGCCAACAAUUAGAACUAUAAAUAAGAGUAAUGCUACUAUACUCUUAUGAGUAUAGACUCCUUUGUAUUCAUAAAUUUUCGAUCGUUGGAUAAAGAAUGUCCGGUUAGAAUGAGAGUGGUCUCCGGUUAUGAUAAUAGUGAUUUCUUAGGAUUGAGUGAAUGAUUGGUUGAAUAGUAUGAUCUAAUGUAUAAAAAUGAUUAAAAAAAUAAAUUUAAUGGCUAAAAAUUUAUGAAUAUACAAGAUUUAUACUUAUAAGAGUAUAGUAAAAAUGCGGCAAUUACGGCCUACAAAGAAUCAAAUUGAGUUCCUGACUUUCUAAUUUUGAGAGUGGCAUCUUGGUAAUAAAAGGCAACAACAAGGGUGAAGAAUUUUACAGAAAAAGAUAGUACAUUUAUUUUUGGUGGAGCGAACACGCUAUAGGCGUGACAUCACAUCAUUGCAUUUUCAUUUUUUUUUCUCGGUUUUUUGUUUUUACUUUUUCUUUUUCUUUUUCUUUUUUUUUUCUUACAGAUGCACUCUACGAUUACAUAAUAAGUACCACAUAAAAACUACCCAAUAUUUUUGAACAUGAAUAAAUUGUACGAUUAGCCCCUGCACUUCUGGUUAGGUUUGUUUUGGUAUUGAAAAAUUUAAAUUUGACAUUUAAUUCUCUAGAGAAGUUUUACUUUGCUACUACUUCAUGAUAAAAAAAAUAGUUAAAAUAUAGAAAAUCUCUACGUAAAUAUUUAUUUUCUUAUUGUUCCUCUCCGACUCUCAAAAAUAUGUAUGUUAUUCCUUCAAACUUUAGCCUUUUUUUGUCAGGGUUUCGUCACUAUUUCGUUUAUUUCUUAUAAUAAUUUAUACCAAAGAUAUCCUUAAAAAUAAUAAAAAAACUAUUAAAAAUUAUUUUUUAUAGCACGAGAAUGAAAAUUUGGCCAUUUCGCCUCUCUCGAUUAAUUAAUCUAUAACUCUUUGAAAAUAUUUCUAAAAUUUUAAGGAGAUAAAAUAUUGAGUUUUGAAAGUCGUAGAGAAAAACUAAAAAACAGAUGUUUAUAGAUUUUUUUUUUUUGGUAUUUUAACCUAAAACAUUAUUGUUUGCAAUUCAUUCGACUUUAUGUUUACGCAUAACAAAUGCAUUAUCCCUUUUGUCAUUUCAAUUUUUUCUCUCAAGUAGUCUAAUUUUUUAAAAGGUCUCCGGCUUAAUGAAUGAUAAAACUAAAAAUAUUGCAUAAAAUUAAUAAUUGAUAAAUAUGCGAUAUAUAUAAAUGUGCAGAUGCAUUCGUUAUUUAAGCUAAAAUUCAUCAUUAAAAAUAGAUAAGUAUAGUAACUAAAAAUAAAAUAAUUUAAAUAAUUUACACACAUGUUCAGUAGCUAAAGUGAAACGGAGACACAGAGUGCUCAGACUAGUGAUGUAAUUUAUUCAUUUUAAACCCAUAAAAAUGUAUUGAGCCCUCCUCAACUAAACAUUUUGUAACAUUACGCGCUAAAAGUAAUUUAAAUUAUAAAUUAAAUUUAACAAAAUUAUCAAUAAAUUUAAGAAAUUUUUUUUUUUUACUAAACUGACUAAAAUCUCCCAAUUCAAAAAUAAAAUUAAAGGCUAAAAAAGCACAAAUAAAACCAAAGGAGAAGUCGAGGGACCAUUUCAGAAAAUUCCUAUUGCUCAGGGGUUCCCCGUACAUUUCUAACUUUGAAAUUGGUAAAUAUUGUAGGCAUAAGCAGCACGCUUCUCAAAGCAGCGUGGGGGAGAAGCGUGGGACCCUUCAAACGGAAAAUGACGUAAUAAAUUGUUUUCAUUUAAAAACAACAAAAAUAAUAAAAAAUAAGCACCACUUGUGAAUUUUCUUUUUUUUUUUCUUGAUAAAUUACAUUUUACACUCAAAUAAUAGAGAUUUAAUCACCAAACCUGUAAUUUAAAAUGUAUCAUUUUAGUACUAUAUAGUUUCAUUUUUUUUCUUUUCGUUAUUCUCUUUGUUAAUAUUUUCGUUAAAUUAGUGAUAAAAUUAAUACUAUAGGAUAUUAAAGUAAAAAUUCGGUAAACCGCACGAUAUAUUAAAGUGAAUAUUUGAUAAAGUAUGGAUGGAGUAUCCGAAAUUUUUUAUGUAUGAUUUAGCGAAUGAAUGGGUUGACAGAAAAAGAAAAAUAAAAUUAUUGUGUACUAAAAUGAGAAAGUGCAAAAUUAUAGAAAUAAUAUAUGAAGUUUAUCCAAAAAAAAAUCAGAAGGCACUAAAGUGAAGCAAAAGUAGCAAAGAUUUAACGAACGAAAGUGCUGACAGAAAUAAAAUAAAAUAAAAUUAUAAGGUACUGAAAUAAGAAAGUGCAAAAUCAUAUGAAUGAUAUUUGAAGUUUAUCUCUUUUACACAUAAAAGAAUCAUAGGAUUAAUUGGUAACUAAUAAUAAAGUUUAGGGGAAGCGCUUCUUUAAUUUAGAAUCAGUAGCUAUCAAAUGGACGGCGAGGAUGAUCGAGUCGGUAACACGCUUUUGCUUUGCUUGUGGAAAUUGCUAAGGAAUCCAUUACUUUAUUAUCUCUUUGACUCACAUCAUUGAAUUAACGUACUUAGUUUGAAAACAAAUAAGGAAUGGGUCUUCAUAAAUUAGGGGGAUUUUGACACGUUACUGGCAAGAAAUUUGUUGGCAAUCCAGCUCGCGAGCUCAUGUUUCGCUUGAUAUAAGCUCGAGAUUGAUUGUCGGUUUAAUAAACGGGCGAUACAGUGAAUGUGUGAAACAACCAUUGUACUUUAGGGUGCGUUUGGUUCGCAUUAUGAAAGAUUACUAGGAAUAAAAGAUAUCCGAGAAUCUUAUUCCUAUUCAUCCUAUUACUAAGAAUGCGGAAUUCCUAUGUUUGGUUCGCGCGGUAAUAUUAAUUAGCCAUAUUAUUUAAUAUUACAAAAAAUAUACAAUUAAUUAAUUAAUUUAUUUAAUUAAUUUUAGAUAAUGUUACCAAAAGUUUCAACAUCUUUUUAGAAAAAAAAGAGAGAGAGUAUAAGUUAGAGAGAGAGAGCAUAAUUAAAAAAAUUUUAUCCCCACCCUUGUUGAACAAGGGUGGGGAUAAGGUGGAUUCCCACCCUUGAUCGAUAAGGAUGGGAAUUGCCCAAUCCUAUUAGGCAAUUCCCACCCUUAUCGAUCAAGGGUGGGAAUUUUUAUCACAAACCCCUUGUUCCCCCCCUAUUGGGGAAUAGGGGUGGGAACAAGGGGUUGGUUUGUACCGGAAUUCCCACGCAAACCAAGCGCGAUAGAAAAUUUCUAAGGAUCAUUAGGUUACCCUUAUUUUUUAAUACUGCCACAAACCGAUUUACGUAAUUCAUUAGAUCAACCAUUAUAACCUAAGUGAACCCUUAUUCUAAGUGGGGUUUCAUGAUUAGAGUAAGGGAACUCCCUCCCACCCAUAGGAGUAUAAUUACCUAACCCCAUUAGUAUUAUACAGAUUAGAGAAAGAAAGAAGGAUGGGCAGCCGAUUAACUAUAAUAAACAGAAAUGUGAGAUUGGAAUAUAGAGAGAGAUUUGAAUAAAAAGAGAAAUUUUAAAUUGAAAAAAAAAGAGAGAGAUUUGAUUCGAAAGAGAGAGAGAGAGAAAAAUUUUAAAGUUGAGAGAGUGAGGAAGAUUAAAACUGAUAUAAAAAGAAAGANNNNNNNNNNNNNNNNNNNNNNNNNCUUAAAUUUGAAAAUAUAAAACAUUAAAAUUUUUAACAUUUAAACUCUAAAAUAUUAAAAUUUUAAUAUUUUAGAGUUUAAAUAUUAAAUUUCAAAUUUGAAAUUAAAUUCUACUUUAAAAUUAAAUUUUUAUGUUUUAUAGUUUAAGAUUUAUUUUUUUAAGUUUUAUAGUUUAAAAUUUUAAAUUUUAAUUUGUUGAAUUUAAAAUUUAAAACAUUAAAAUUUUUAAUAUUUAAAAUUAAAAAUUUGAAUGCUUUAAAUUUAAAAUAUUAUUUAAUUUUUAAGAGAGUGAGUGAGUGUGAGAGUGUGUUUGUGUGUGUGUGUGUGUGUGAGAGAGAGAGAUAGAGAGAAGUGCCCACCUUGUUCGACCCAAUAGGAUCGAAUAAGGUGGAACCCCACCCUUGUGAUCUCCACCCUUGCGAUCACAAGGGUGGGGAAUUGCCCGAUAAGAUCUUAUCGGGCAAUUCCUCCCUUAAUCACAAGGGUGGUAAAAAACAAACACAAACCCCCUAUUCCCACCUUAUUUGGGAAAUAAGGUGGGAAUAGGGGGUUGGUUUGUAUCGGAAUCAUUGAUAAACAAAUCGUUUACUUGGAUAUUUAUCAAUCGAAUUGUAGAAAACUUCGUUUCGGUAAUCUUGUAGCAUUUAGAAUUACGUUCAUUGGUUCCUUAAGAAUGAACCAAAACUUAGUGAACACUCCGACAAGAUAUGGCCAGUGCAUACUCGGAAGGGCCAAGAGGACGUUUUUAUUACCCGUUUUGAUUCUGGCGCGUUCGUAUUAAUAUACUAUAGUGUCUAUAGCGUUCGUUUUAAUUUCGAAGCAAAUGAGAAGUUAUUAUAACUUAAGUGAUCCGAUUCAAUUGUCAGAAUAUGUUAAGUACAGUUUCUACGUAGAGUUUAAUCAAGUUAGAGAUUUAGAAUGCCUUUUAGUUGAUCAGUAAUAAUCAUGAACGUACGAACAAUAUCAAAUUACUUGUUUAAAAGUUUCGACCCUAUAGAAAUUUUUCAAUACGGUAACUUCCGUAAGAUGUUAUCUUCUUGAGGCUAUUAGAUAACUACCUUCUUUUUAAUUAUUGUUACUACGGCGGUAAUUAGACGUAAAUCUUUAUAUAUUUUCUUCGUAGAAUUGGACGAAAGAGUCUAAGUUCGAGGGGCCGUCUGUAUUAAUGACCAAGUUAAGGGUAGUGAGCUUUUUAUUCGAGUCAAACUUUACAAAAGGGAACAGGAAAAGGAGGGGUAUAUGGAUGUAGUGUAAUCAUAAGAAUUUAAACGGUUUAUCUCUUAGGUUUAUCAUGAUAUUAUGUGUCCUUGAAACAUUCGAGUUCUUUUUGUACUGAAUCCAAACUUUUCAGAACUCUUGAUAGCAGUAUAAUCUCUAGAAUACUGGUAGUUCACUUGUUGUUUUCAUUAGUUUUUGCUCAAGAAUUAACGUCUACUCAAUAUUCCCAAGGAGUCAUCUUUCUAUUAACUAAGGUAGAGUUUCAACAGUCUACUCUCAGUUCUACUACUUUUGUGUAUAAGAGAAUGGAUUAUAAUCUCCUUGGAAUUACAACUCUUCUACUCGUUAUAUCAAGAAGUGUUACACCGUACGACGUUUUCUUAUUUUACAAUAAUGUUAUUACUACCGUAUAAUUAUUGUCUUGUCCCGUGAAUUGUUUGCCGUGUGAUCUCCUUAAAUCCAAAUGUCCGAAAAUAAUUUGAAUUAACUAUUGAACUCUCUUAAACUGUUCGGAUCUUAUGUACGAUGGAGUCUAGAUACACAAAUCUCUUGUAAAGUAAUCGAGGGUCUCUUUUAGGAGAUUUGAGUCAUAGUUGGCCUAGUGUGACAAUAGAAAGGAAGGUAUUAUGUUUAGUUUGCUAUCGGAUACCUAGUCCUCCCAGUUAAUCUUUCCUCAGAUUUUAUUCAACCCUAGUUUAGUUGAACAGGUGAACGUAAUCUUGGUUAACCCGCUUUUUUUCCCUGUAUGGAAAUUUCUUCCCUGGAUGUAGUCUAUUUAACAGUUUACGUACAUAGUUUAGAAUGAAAGUGCUAACUUUGUAUUUUUCCGGAAUAGUGAUUAAGAACAAUAAGUGAUAUUAGUACUGGAAGUUAAUGGUUUUUAAUGUUACGUAUAAACUUCAAGUUCUACGGUGUUCUCACCUCAGUAGAUUUAAAAGUACUGGUCUGUAGUGUAACUCUCUAAACCAAGGUCUAAUGUCACUACUUUUUUUAAACAGUUUCAAGUAGGUAAAUUUAAUGUAACCGAACAACUAUGGAGUUUCAUACAUGAGCCGUAACAAACAUGAGCCGUAACAAAUUCGGUUUUUUAAGCUUCUUUGUCUUUUAUUUUAAAAGAGCUAUGAUCCCCAAUCAGUUCUACCUCUUUAGUUGUUUAAAACUAUCAGCAUAGGAAAGACCUGUUAGUUUAUUCAUUUUCUCAGUGUACUUAGUCAAGGUAUAUUAAGCUUCCUACAUGCGAUUUGUUAUUUCGUUUUUUUUUUAGUAAAGUUGUGGAUUGAGAUAUUAGAAGUUUAUACUUUUUGUAGUGUUGUACAUCUUCUAGUUUUCCGUUUUUUUUUUGUCUCUUUUCAAGAAAGUCGAAGUAUUAUGGAGUGAUUUAAGUUCCGAACGUUUUAGGUUCGGUUCAAAUUUCACGAAUGGUUAAAAUAGGACAUCUUUUAUUCUUUACAUAAAACAGUUUAGAUAAUUAGUUACAACCCUCCGUUGUUUUUAAUAGUUCUCUCUUUUUAUCAGAUAACUUAUUUUAUUACGUCACUUUUCUCCAUUUUGUUUCGUUUAUAUUAUUUAUUUUAAAAGAGGUUAAUCACUUUAUGUAUAAGAGGAAAACUCCUUUAAUGUUGGAUUUGAUGUGUGAAAACAUCUAUUGGCGGGUAUCAAAGUUGAAAGUUUUCAAUUAUAAUUUAUAAUUUCAUAAAUUUAUGGCAAGAGAUAGUCGAAUUUGAAAAUCUCUUGUUGCCAACAAAGCAUAAUAAAUUGUACCAUAGUCUCGUCCUCCAGGACUCAAGCUUAAUGCGGUCCGAGGUUUGUAAUAAUUAAGGAGGAUAAAUUAAACAGGCAUAGUACCGGAUGUUUUUCAGAGCUCGGGUUUGUACUCCCUUUCACAAUAUAUAUUUUUAUAAAUUUAUGGCAGGAGAUAGUUAAAUUCGAAAAUUUCAUGUCGCCAACAAAACAUAAUAAAUUGUUAAUUUUGUUCGGUGAGCAAAGAUAGUUAGUGGGUCGGGUGUUAAAACACUCAAAAAAAUAUUAUUGAUAAUCGUGAACUGACAGUGUAGUAGGAAUGCUCGAGUAUAAAAUGGGUAUAGAAGCUUUGGUCACCUCCCCGUAAACUCCAAAAAACCGAAAGUAUACUACUUACCGACGUUCUUUUUGACUACCUUUAUUCGUAUCUACCGACGAACUUUACCUGUGUAACAAUCCCACAUUGAAAUAAAAAAAAAUUACUAAAAAGCUUCGAACCCGCCAGGUCGGGAUUCACGACUGUUAAAAAUAUUUGUUGGGUGGUAGUCGUCCUUAGUUGAAUUAUUUUAUCUCCCGACUUUUACAGGAGAGGUUUUAGGGUCGUCCCGAUCUCCAAUUAAGUGCGUACUAUGCUAAAGUUAUUAUCCACGAUUUAAUAAUUACUGUGUUGUUCGCUCUAAUUCUUCGAUUAUAAUACGUUGCUACGUUUUCUCUUGUAUAACAAAACCAACGAGUAACGUUGAUCUCUUGUAAAUAUCGUUAACGUUAUUUAAUCCAACUGUGAUAGGAUGUUUUCUUAAAGAAUACUUACGUGUUCUGUAGCAUCAACUUUGAACUCCAACUAACCAAUUCUUGGUCGUUACUUCUUUUCUUGUACAUGUUAAUCAUUCGAUAUAUCCGUUUUUCGUUUUUAAAUACGUCGUGUCAUAAGAACUAUUUACAGUAAAAUGUACAGUAGUAGGUUCGACAGAGGUUGUUUUACUUCGUCGAUUUCGUGUAGAGUUUCUACUUUUCCGGGACUUUCUUAAACACAUUUUGGCGAUUUUUUUUCUUUUAGGUGUUGUUCUUGAAUAGUACUUUCGUACUCUGGUUAACCGUUCAUCCCGAUGUACUCCAGAACAAUAUAAGAUCAGGGUAUUGAUUACGAGUUGUUUAAGAGGGUUUUUUAGAGGAACCUUUAUAAGAUCGACAAGCUGUUUCUUAUGUUGAAAACAACUACUUUCGUACUCCGUACGUCCCUAACGAUAUUUUAAGUUUCAUUUUACCUCCUAAACCGUUUUUUUUAUCACAUCUUUCACUCUUGUAGUAAUAUCAAUUCACACUAUAUCACAUCAAUUAAUGUUUGUUUGUCCAUGCCCACUAAUAAUUCUUCAUUUGAAUGUCUAAAAAGUGUAUACAAGUGUAUAAAUGCGACGUUAUUAUAGAAUAAACGUAAAUAUGAGAAGUUUUUGACCAUUGAAGUAAUGUACGGAGUAUGGUUCAUAUUUUAUACAUAAGAUAGAUUUUGUCGAUUUUAAAGAGUAUACGGUCUAAAGCCCGGAAAGAGACGGAUGUAGAAUCUUUUCUUAGUCCAUUUGAUCGAACGGGUUUAUUUUCAUUUUCAGUAAGUUUGGAUACAAAAAUCUCAUCACGAAGAUAUGAGCAAUAAAAAGCUAUGGCAAGUAAGUAAAGAUAAGAUGCCGAGUCUAAAUUAAAAAAAAUUCAACAUUGAAUGUUAUUGUACAGUGAAAUUCUUUCCAUGGUUAAUAGUUCAUGGGAUUUCUCCCUAUAAGACCAGAAAAUUAUGAACCCAUUAAUAGUGCAUAAUUUAUUAAAAUGGAGUUGAUAUAAUAGUUUUGGGAAAAAGAGAGACAAAAGAAAAAGAGAGAGAUAGAAAGGAGAGGUAAGUGUCUACAAAGCAACAAAGUUUUAAAAGAAUUUGUAUAAUUUAUACGAUUUAAAUUUAUAAAUGGUUGUAAUUUUUUAAAAAUUUAUCGCUAUGUUUUUAUUACAGAUUUAAUCUUUUAAUGAUUUUACAAAAUUUGUAUAAUUUAUACAAUUUAAAUUUAUAAAUGGUUGAAAGUUUAAAAAAAUUUAAUUGUUAUGUUUUAAUUACAGAUUUGAUCUCCUUAAAUUUUUAAAGAAUUUGUCUAAUUUAUACAACUUAAAUUUGUAAAUGGCUGUAAUUUUAAAAAAAUUCUUUCAUUAUGUUUUAAGGAGAUUGAAUUUAAAUUUAAAAUUUAUAAAUUAUAAAUUAUAAAGUUAAGUUGUAUAAAUCUUUAUUAUGAUAAAGAUUUUAAGGAUUUUAAAUUUAAUUACGGAUUUAAUAUCCUUAAGAUUUUAAGGAUUUUAAUUACGGAUUUAAUCACGUUUUAAUUACGGAUUUAUACUUUAUAGUUAGUGAAAGAAUUUAAUUAUGAAUUUAAUCACGUUUUAAUUACGGAUUUAAAUACUAUAGUUAGUUUUGAAAGAAUUUAAAACACUAUAAAUUAAUUUUUUUAUGGGAGAUGUACUUCAUUGGAAAAUUGGACGAUAUACAAUUUUAUUGUGUAAUGGGAAAUAACUAGUUGCCAAUUCUAGAAAAAAUAAAAAAUAUUUUAUUUCAUGGUUUAGUAAAGAGUACAAAAAUUAUAUAUUCAUAAAUUUUAGUAUUUUUGAUCUUCGUAUUUGGUACUGCACGGAAUCGAACAUGUAAAAACACAGUUAAGGGAAAAGGAACACUAAAACAAAAGAACGAAUACUUACUUCGUCCGACUCAACGAAGUUGAACUUGGGAAAGUAUUUCUCGCCUUUUUCUUUUUGUUAUGGUUAGUUCAUGUAUCAAACAAUCCCUUCAAGUUCGACUCAAGUUCAGGUGUAUUAGGGCUGCUACACUGUUUUGGGUAAUUGAGUUUUCGAAUUGGGACAGCUUAAACCGGGUUAUAAGACAUAAUUAAGAAAUGAUGACACGAGGAGAUGAACAAUAAGGUAUACAUCGAUAAAAGUUUACACUUAAACAUUGUCUAGUUUUGGUACCGUGAGGUAUAUUCCGGUCGUAGUAUUUGUUCUUCUUGAGUUUUAAUUGUUGGAAUAAAAGCUUCAUUUACUAGGUUUUCUUGUUCUUGAGUGUUCUUUUUGCCCCCGAUACAUCAUUAGCGGGAGCUCUAUGAGCUUGCUGGCGCAGCGGAAGACGGCCAUUAGUUUGUGCUAUAGGCGACGUGUGUAUUUGUUGGUUUGUUCUUCGUUUGUUGAUGUACUCUUUCGGGGUUAAGGUAGAAUCUACUUUGCAUAAUCGGGAUUUUAGGGAUUAUUUUAAUUUUGUUUCUCUUAGAAUGUUAGGAAGGGUUCCUUGACAGGGUGUUUCUCUAGUAGUUAGUGCGGAACGGCUCGGGGAUGACGCUACAAGUACAAUAGGCUGAGGAAAGGCUCCGCUAUGUUCAUUAGCAAGGGGAGGCUCAGGAAGCUAAGGGUGCUCCUAACGAAGCUUUAGGAGCAGAGCCCUCGAAGAAGGCCUCUUCUUCUAGGUAGCCCCCGAGCUCUCCUCCUCCUCCUCCUCCUCUUCGUCUCCUCUCCCUUCCCAAAGCUAAACGACUGGAAACCUUUAAAUCCCAAAGCCCCUACCAAAACCGCGCUUCUCUUACUCCCCCUCCCCCUCUCCUUCUCCAGCCCCAACGUCACCUCUUGGCGGUAACCUACCUCCAACUCUACCCUACGUCUACUCUCUCAAAGAAAACACUGGCAACCCUACUAUAGAGGUUGCCGGCCUUCUUUGGUCCCAAAGGACUACCACUUUUACAUUCUUCGGAGGAGUUGAAACCGCGCAAAACGUUGCACGGGGAUUUGUAAAACGUGACAAGAAUUAGAGAAUGAAUAAUCACAAACUAAGAGUUCAUUUGGCUUUUAUCAAUUUUAAUAGAGGCGAUAAGAUGAUUUACUGGGGAUUUACAAAGCCCGUAGGCUUUGGAGGAUAAGUACGAUAAAGCCUACCAGGGAUAACGUGGGGUAGAAAGCUUUAGGAAGUGCCAGUAUAGGUUUAAUGAAAGAUCAGCGGGUCAAGGACGUAGGCUUUAGAAAUUACUAAUUUAAAUUAUUUAGUAGUACGACUGAGUAGUUUAGGUGGCUGAAUUUAUGGUUGAUUUAAAACCUAACGAUGUCAUUAAGACUCGUAGAUCUUGGUUCCGGGUUUAGGAUAAGCCUAUGAGGAAGCCGUUAUAGCUCGCAAGAUUUCACUCAAAGCUUAAGUAGAGUGGAACCUUGUUACGAAGAUCCGUGGGAUUAGGUUAAAACUCGCAAGUUUUCACCCUUUUUUUAAACGCUCACUCGGCUCUUUCCCAUGCUGGUCUAGUUAGGGCCUAGGUCGUUUGCAGCUGCCGGUCACUGUUCUAGUUUGUUUCCGGCUAAAUUAUUCCAUUCACUCCAGUAUUUAAGCGGUACCAUCUUUGGUUGUGUACACAAGACGUUCAUCAUUAACGUUAUCAACCGUAGCUCAAGCCUACCGUUCAAAGUUCCUACUUACAUUAUUUCGUUAGUGGUUUUCCUACUUCUACCGUCCUCAUCCCACCCUUUCAUUUCGUAUGUUCUCUUAACAUGUUCUUAUUCGUCCUUUUUUCGUAAUUCGUUCUGAUAAUAUUUUUACUCCAUCUCCCGUUCUUUUCAUCCGAGGUGGUAUCUUUUACUCUCCCUGGGUGCUAUUUCCUUUUCUCUCUAACACUGCUUGGUGAAUGAACCACCCUGCACCUAUCACAAAAUAUAGGUACCCUCAAGUUUCUCAAAAAUGUCUAUAGACUUUACGAGUAUCUGUGAUAAGAUGUUUAAUUAAGAUUAAAUCUUUAAUGAGAACGUUCUAUGGUUCGUCACUUACGUUCUUAUUCUUUUUUUUUUACGAGAUGGUUUAGUACAAGAUUAGUAUUAAUGUAACUUCUAAUAGUUCCUCGAAUUAAACACCUGAUUACACAUAGAGGCGUGUGGAAACGUCACACACACAAGAAAAAGAAGAAAUAAAGCAGAAGAAAGAGUUCAAAGCAAUAAAAAAAAGAGACAAUUAUGUUUCAUACUAAAAAACGAACCAAAUGAAAUAGCUCUUUUAGUACAAUUUUAUUACCGUAUUCGAAUCGUACACUAAUUCCUAGUUUAUCUUUUUAAUCAAUUCCAACUUCUAUAUUAUACUAGGGAAUACUGUUUUCAAUGUUUCAAUAAUUUAUACUUCGUGACGUAUCGACGUUUAGUCCUCCUUCACAACGAUCUGGUAACUAUGAGUACAUUCACUUUACAUCUCCGCUCAUGAGAUUUUCGAAUUCAAAAAUAUUUUGUCACAAAUAUAUAAAAAUAUAAAUUAUGAGAAGGGUUUUAAAAAUAUAAAUUAUGAGAAGGAUUUUAAAAAAAAACCUUCCGAGUAUUAUACUUAAACUUAAUUUACUCUCUUUUAAUUAUUAUGAUUCUCGAACCCACCGAGCUUGAGUUCUGGAGGAUAAGCCUACAAUACACUUUGUUAGUAAUACAAGAUUUUCGAACUCAUAAGAUAUCACAGUGGAUUUAAUAUAAAGAAAAAGAUAAUAUCAUUAUUUUUUAUUUUUAACUACCAACUUUAAUUCUUAUCCCAUCUUACCUAACCAAACGCUAUUUUUCUUAUUCCCAGCAAUAACUCAAUUUUCAUCCAAACACAAAAUUGAUCUAAUCCUCGCUUAUACCUCAAUUUAUACCUAUCCCUGGAAUACCCACUUUUUGCUUAUUCCCGAACCAAACGAUACCUAAGUUUAAGAGUAAAACGAAUUCAGGACCUUCUAUUCUGAUACUAUGUGAAACAAUCAUUAUACUCUAAAAGCUUAAGCUGUUAGAUAACGGUAUUUAAACAUUUUUAUAUUUAACAGAAUGCGAGUGAAGUCAGCUCGCUCGUGUUCGAUCCGAUAUGGCUCGAAUAUAUAUAUUCUAAUUUGUGCUAUUUGGAUUUUAGGCCAUGUAAAAGGACUGAUAUUUUGUAAAUUUCAAUUAAUUAUUAGAUUACGAUUUUAAUUUUUUAAAUAUUUAAAAAAAAAAAUUUACCCAGUAAUAAAACUGGUAAUCUAAUUUAUUGUUCCGGAGUCGGCUCGUAUUCAGCUCGUUAGUAAACAAGUCGAAUAUGAGCUAAAUUUUUUUGCUCGAUAUUUUAACUAGUCAGCUACAUGUGUCGGUCUCAGCUCGCUCAUAUUCGGAUAGUCGACAGCAAUAGUAUGGUUUGCUUACGCUGUAUCCUUUAGAACACAUUUAUGCCUUGGACAUGUUGAUAUCGAUAGGUUAACUUAAUAGCCAAAAAUAAAAAAUAAAAAAAAAAUCAUAUAACAUUAAUUUCUUUCUUAUCCUAUCAACUGGAAAACAGCAUAUGAUGCUACCAUGGUUUUUGGUCGAGGCAUGAGCCAUAUCAAUUACAAAAAUUUGUUUAAGACUAUUUGUACAAAUUUUUUUUAUUAGGUUGAUAUUU
RNAcentral lists this long non-coding RNA (14608 nucleotides) under Ananas comosus (pineapple). RNAcentral's name for it is "long non-coding RNA (ACOM_LNC016628)". The record is from RNAcentral. Lineage: Eukaryota; Viridiplantae; Streptophyta; Magnoliopsida; Poales; Bromeliaceae.